This 46-nucleotide non-coding RNA is filed under the name Trichobilharzia regenti. Lineage: Eukaryota; Metazoa; Platyhelminthes; Trematoda; Strigeidida; Schistosomatidae. The record is from RNAcentral.
GCACUGCUGAGGAGUCCCAAACUAGGGCGAAACAGCUGUCCAGCAC